Molecule: ribosomal RNA, 460 nt
Filed under: uncultured bacterium
Lineage: Bacteria
Description: partial 16S ribosomal RNA
Rfam family: Bacterial small subunit ribosomal RNA
Source: RNAcentral
CCUACGGGCGGCAGCAGUGAGGAAUAUUGGUCAAUGGACGAGAGUCUGAACCAGCCAAGUAGCGUGAAGGAUGACUGCCCUAUGGGUUGUAAACUUCUUUUAUAAAGGAAUAAAACGAGGCACGUGUGCCUUUUUGCAUGUACUUUAUGAAUAAGGAUCGGCUAACUCCGUGCCAGCAGCCGCGGUAAUAAGGAGGAUCCGAGCGUUAUCCGGAUUUAUUGGGUUUAAAGGGAGCGUAGAUGGGUUGUUAAGUCAGUUGUGAAAGUUUGCGGCUCAACCGUAAAAUUGCAAUUGAUACUGGCAGUCGUGAGUACAGUUGAGGUAAGCGGAAUUCGUGGUGUAGCGGUGAAAUGCUUAGAUAUCACGAAGAACCCCGAUUGCGAAGGCAGCUUACUAAACUGUGACUGACAUUGAUGCUCGAAAGUGUGGGUAUCAAACAGGAUUAGAUACCCUAGUAGUC